Molecule: ribosomal RNA, 926 nt
Filed under: uncultured Bacteroidota bacterium
Lineage: Bacteria; Pseudomonadati; Bacteroidota
Description: bacterial SSU rRNA
Rfam family: Bacterial small subunit ribosomal RNA
Source: RNAcentral
UGGAUCCAGACUUUGAUCAUGGCUCAGGAUGAACGCUAGCGGCAGGCUUAACACAUGCAAGUCGAGGGGCAGCGGAGAGGAAGCUUGCUUUCUCUGCCGGCGACCGGCGCACGGGUGAGUAACACGUAUGCAACCUGCCCUUCUCAGGGGGACAACCCGCCGAAAGGCGGGCUAAUCCCGCGUAUAUGCUCCGGAGGCAUCUCUGGAGCAGGAAAACUUCGGUGGAGAAGGAUGGGCAUGCGGCGCAUUAGCUAGUUGGCGGGGUAACGGCCCACCAAGGCGACGAUGCGUAGGGGUUCUGAGAGGAAGGUCCCCCACACUGGUACUGAGACACGGACCAGACUCCUACGGGAGGCAGCAGUGAGGAAUAUUGGUCAAUGGUCGGGAGACUGAACCAGCCAAGCCGCGUGAAGGAAGACGGCGCUCAGCGUUGUAAACUUCUUUUGUCAGGGAACAAAAGGCGUCACGUGUGACGCUCUGAGUGUACCUGAAGAAAAAGCAUCGGCUAACUCCGUGCCAGCAGCCGCGGUAAUACGGAGGAUGCGAGCGUUAUCCGGAUUUAUUGGGUUUAAAGGGUGCGUAGGCGGCAUGUUAAGUCAGCGGUAAAAGCCCGGGGCUCAACCCCGGCGAGCCGUUGAAACUGGCGUGCUAGAGACGGCGAGAGGUAUGCGGAAUGCGCAGUGUAGCGGUGAAAUGCAUAGAUAUUGCGCAGAACUCCGAUUGCGAAGGCAGCAUACUGGCGCCGGACUGACGCUGAGGCACGAAAGCGUGGGGAUCAAACAGGCUUAGAUACCCUGGUAGUCCACGCAGUAAACGAUGAAUGCUGGCUGUGUGGCCCGACAGAGGGCUGCGUGGCGUAGCGAAAGCGUUAAGCAUUCCACCUGGGGAGUACGCCGGCAACGGUGCAACUCAAAUGAAUUGACGGA